GAUAGAUUAUUUUCUAAAUUUAAUAUUAGUUGAAAUUUAGCUAGAUAAUUAUUUGUUUGUUUUAUAUAUAUAUAAAUAUUAAAAAUUUUAAAAUUUAAAUAAUUUAUAUUUUUAAUAUAUAGAUUUAUUAAUUUAAUUUAUGUUAAUAAUAGAAAUACAUAUAUAUUUUAGAGAAAAUUGUGCCAGCAUCAGCGGUUAUACAAUUAUUAAUAAAAUAAUUUAUUUUAUUAAAUAAUAUUAUAAUUAUUUAUAAUUAUUAAAUUAAUUUUAUGAUAAAAUAAAAUUUAAUUAAUAUAGUUAUUUUAAUUAUUAAUUUAAUUAGUUAAAUAAAAUUAUAAACUAGGAUUAGAUACCCUAUUAUAUUUAUUAAAAUAAAAUAUAAAUUAGUAAAUAAUGAAAAUUAAAAAUUAUGACGGUAUUUUAAUCUAUUUAGAGGAUUAUGUUCUGUAAUUGAUAAUACACGAUAAGAAAAACUAAAUUAUUUAUUCUUGUAUGUUCGUUAUAAAAAAAUUUUAAGAAAAUUUAUUUUUUAAAUUUAUUAAAAUGAAUUAUUUCAGAUCAAUAUUAGGUUAUUGUUUAGAAGAAAUGUAAUACUAUUAAAUUAUUAAAUUAGAUUUAUUAUUUAAUUAUAAGAUUUAAUUGGAUUUAAAAGUAAAACUAUUUAAUUUAAUAGUUUGAAUAAAGUUUUAAAAUAUGUACAAAUUGCCCGUCACUUUUAAGUUAUUAGAAUAAGUCGUAACAAAGUAAGAGUACUGGAAAGUGUUCUUAGUUAUAU
RNAcentral lists this non-coding RNA (775 nucleotides) under Merostenus sp. Lineage: Eukaryota; Metazoa; Arthropoda; Insecta; Hymenoptera; Eupelmidae. The record is from RNAcentral.